Molecule: long non-coding RNA, 1354 nt
Filed under: Nicotiana benthamiana
Lineage: Eukaryota; Viridiplantae; Streptophyta; Magnoliopsida; Solanales; Solanaceae
Description: long non-coding RNA (NBEN_LNC025293)
Source: RNAcentral
AAGAUGAUACUUGGGAAGCCUGGCUAAAUGCUGAUGCAUCUGGUUUGUCUAGUGCUAUGGGAUUUGGGGGGAAUGGCGUUAAGUUAAGGCGUGGAUAUGCUCCUCCUCAGUCAUCGAAACCAACACAGGCACUCAUUUACACACUAUCAAGUUCACUACUGUUGGUUCUCUUUGUGCUGAUACCAAGUUUACCUAUGUUCUCAUUCUUCUCUUUUUUAAGUGGCCACAGUGGGGGAGGAGUAGCGUGAAAGACUUAAAUUGUACUACUGUUGGUUCUCUUUGUUCUGAUAUCAAGUUUACCGAUGUUGGUUUCCUUUGUUACUGAUGAUCUUAUGGUGUUCAGUCUCACUGCAUCUUCUCUUUUUUAAGUGGCCACGGUGGGGGAGGAGUAGCAUGUGAUAAGAAUGGACCUUGGGCCUAACUCAACCCCAAAAGCUAGCUUAUGAGGUGAGGAUUGCCCAAGCCAUAUAAGGAGACCAAGAACCUCAAAUCCCUCCGAUGUGGGACAACUCAACAGCAUGAAAGACUUAAAUUGUUUGAUAAAAAUGCUAUAAAAGGAAGAGAGAAAAUGUCUUUGCUUUCCCCUCCAGUUAAAACUGGAAAAUAAAAAAGAAAGUAAAAAAUAAAAAAGUUCAAGUGAAAUAUCUAGUAUUUGGGAAAAUUUGGGUUGGGACUGCAUGCAUGUAGACUUGAUCACUUGGUUCAUAAAAUGUUAUAUUCCAACUAUGCUGGAAAAUUCAAAUAAGUGUCGUGAAGCUUGUACCAGCUUUCUGAUUGCAAAAAGCUGCGGGCUUGGAAAUUGCAGAAGCUAAGUUAGUAGGAGGAGGUAAGUCAUGCUAAUAUCCUCCUUUGUGGGUCUUCUUGUUUUAUCUGUCGAUUGUGAGAAAAUGAUAAAAGAGAGCUUGUAUUGAAUUAAUUAUGUAAGCCAUACAGAAGGGCUCCUUGCAUAGGAGUUUACACUUUAGGACUAAGAAAAGUUUAUAAUGUUGUAUAUUAUAACAGAGAAAUUAAUUAAAUAAGGCAUACUUAAUUUGAGCUUUCUACUUAUGAUAGGAGUAAGAAAAUUUAUAAUAUUGUAAUUAAAGAGAAGGUAAUUAAAUAAAGAAUAUUUGAAUACUGAGAGUUCUCCUUAUGAUAGGGUUGACAAGAAUGUUAGAUAUUAUUAACCUGAACACAUGAAACAUCUAGAAAAUUUUAACAUAUACAUCACCAUUUCGUUUUAUCUGACCCUUGUUUGAUUGGGUAUGGAGUUUAAGAAAGAAAAGAACUUAAACAUGCCAUAACAUUUGUGUUGCUAUAAGACUGUUGAACCUUACAACAACAACAACAACAACAACUACCCAGUAUACUCCCA